UAUUAUUAUUAAGUAACCUAUGAAAUUAAAUUAUUUAUUGUUGCAAUUACAGUAAAAUAAUUUAUAAAGAAACUGACGUAUGUAAAUAAAUAAUUUAGUCCAAAGUUCGAUUAUUUUAAAUAGUAAUUACUCAUAGUUAUUUAAAUAAUUAAUUAAUUAAAUAAAUAAAAUAAAAUUAUUUAUAUAAAAGUUUAAUUAUUUUUCUAUUUGUUGUUAACUAUUUAAACAAUUAAAUGUCGUGUCAAAUAAAAGGUAUUGCUUUAAUAAAUGAUGUGAGUGAGGUUAAAAAAUUGUUAUUUGAAAAUUCUAUUUUGAAAUUUGAUCAUGUUCCAAAAAAUGAAUUACCUCUACAGGAUGCUGUGAUAUCAUUAUCAUCAGCUGGAGAUGUCUUAGGUCUAGCAUUACAUAAAAAUAUAAUUAUUCUGACUUCUAAAUGGGAUCUACAAGAACCAUCGGAGAAUAAAAACAAAUUUCAUAUAUCAUGGACCGGAAGUUUAGUACCCGAGGCACCGGAAUAUAUAACCUCGAUUCUGUGUCUUCCGCUGAUAUCUCUAGGAAAAUCAAACAGCGGCCCGGACUGGACCUGUACUCUGGUAGGAUUCAGCUCCGGGUACCUGCGCUGUUAUACCGAAACUGGGUGUCUUCUUCUGGAAGAACAAUUACACAACGAACCGAUUCUCAAUUUAAAAUGUCAGUCGCUUACUUCUCCGCGGCAUACUGGAGAUACUGGACUUUCGGAAGAGCUCCACAUAAUUUAUGAAUCAGUAGUCUGUAUUUUGCCUGGCUUUCCAUUUUUCUCAACCCUCCGCGCGUGUCGGAACUAUCUGGCACGUGUCCAAGCGAACUACAGUAGUGACAAGCCGCCAUCUUGUUUAACAUUCAAAAAGCUCGGCUUCAAAGACCAAGAUGUGACCAAUGACUGCGAAGUAAUUGGGACCACUUCAGUCAAUACCUUUGAUCACUUGAUGACGGCUUCAAUUUGUGGAGGUUUUCAUGCUUCAUAUCGUUCCAGCGCGCCGCAACAUAACCUAGUUAUGGCUACCGGCAAGCGUCCUUAUGUCGGAUUUCAUUUUGCUUUAGAAGGUGGCGCUGCUCCAGUUUUAUCAGAUGUAGCUCUCGCGAUGGCCAGUUCGCUAGCAAACGCGAUCGGUAAAAUCGGUACCGCCGUUCCCUGGUUCCGUGGUUCCAAGCCCAGCCUUGAGAAACCCAAAGGUCCUGUUCAGGAAGCCGCAGAAGCGAUGACUUGUCGCUUCGGGCUCAGUGACGUCAUGCGCGAAGGCGAUUCCUUGAUAGUAAGUCCCAAUAAGUCGCUGUCAGUGAUAACUGACGCAAUGGGUAGAGUCACUCUGAUAAAUAAUCGCCGGGGAUUGGCUCUAAGAAUGUGGAAGGGUUACCGAGAUGCCCAGUGUGGGUGGAUAGAAGUCGCUGAAGACAAGAGAUCUAAAGUCACCAGCAAAAGACGCACUGCCUUGUUCCUGGUGAUUUAUGCUCCCAAGAAGGGAGUAAUUGACAUCUGGGGAAUUCAGACCGGAGGCAAGAUCACGACUUUCUCGGCCAGUAAAAACGGAAGGCUUCUGUACAUAAACUACGGCCUGCUGGGUCUCAAUGACGUGGCGCCCACUUCUCCCAACCGCCCAGCGUAUUCUUGUGUCUUUCUAGACCCACUGGGUGGUCUCAAAGAAAUUCUGGUCCCGUUCCACUUUGCACUGAGCAACACAAACGGCAAGCGCGCACGCGAUAUUCAUUUGUUUAAGAAACUAAAGACUUUCAUACGCGAGCAGGAUUAUGAUGAGGACAAACUAGUAAGUGAGGUUAGCAAUAUUUGUAAAGAUUUAAAAACCAACGAAAUAAGGCAACAGGUUCUAGAAACUCUGAUGGCCAGCAAACAUGUAAUUUCAGACGUUUUGUUAAGUGUAACGACCAUUUUUAAUGACGCACUAGUCGAUCAGGAAAUGGAAGCCACUACAAAACCUUUAGUGCAACUUUGCGCCCAAAUAAAACACGUGGUUACUUUCUACAAGUAUUUAAAAUCUAGGAAACCAUCAGCCGAACAAGUUGCGCCCAAUGAAUCGGAAUGGGAUCUGGCGGCCAUUUUGCUGUCAUCUCCCCGUGAAAUCACAAGAAUUCUUAAACUUGUCCAGAGUUUGGAAGACACCGAGUCUAGGGCGCGCGUGACAUUCAAAGGAGGAUUCGUAGAUUUUAUUUCGUCAUUUGAUUUCGGGUGCAACCAAGUGACGCUGGCUAAGGACGUGACCGAGGAUAAGAAGGAAUUGAUAUCGGAACUGAUCUAUCAAGGCUGGAUGGAUUCGAAUGAAUCAAUAGAGGCCUGGAAAGCCGCCGCAGAAGACAGUGGCAUCCAAGGCAAGACUUUUAUGGAACUGGCAUUAGUCUACUGGCUCCACAAGCGACCCGUAGAAGUAAAGACUCUGAAGACUCAGCUCAAGCGAUUCACUGACUUGUUACACGCAAUUUGCAACCGGGAUGCUGAGGAAAUCUGCGUGGGCUACAACCAAGUAUCUCCCUGGUGGAAAGACACCCGACAAAUCCUAACUGAGUCUGUGAAUCCGCUCCAAGCAUUGACAGCAGCUUUGGCUUGCCGAAGUGUCGCGAUCACAUUGUCAGCGACAAGAGACCAGAGUCAAGCCAGCGAGAAGGAAGCUCUGGAUGUAAAGAAUGGUAACGUCAAAGACCAGAAACCAGAUGACCCGCAUGAUUGGGAAAACGUCAGCAAAGAUGUCUGUCAGUUCACGCUGCUAAUAGGGAACCUAGAAGACAUCGCGAUCCUCAAUCGAACCCUCCAGCGACCGCGGAUUGAUGACUCGACCAAUUUCCUGGCUCUGCCGUUCGAGAAACUGGAAGUUUCACUAGGAAAUGUGAUUGCUGAAGGUCAAGGUUCCGUUUCCGAGAUAGUUGCCAAGUGGCUAUCGACAUCUGGAGUCGAUCCUUCGCGUCUCAUUGAUACUAGUGACGUAGAAUUUGACUCGGGAUUCCAAGUAGACGCUGCCGAUACACAAGAAGCUAAAGAGCAACCUCUUACAAAAGAAGAAGCCGUCAGUUUGAUAAACCAGUCCGUGGAAAUCGGAAAUGAAGCGCGAGCUGACUCGUCAUCAUUGGCCCAGAUUUUGGACAAAAUAGCGCUGCUUAAACACCAUUUUCCUUAUAGUCUGACCAGUAGCGUUCUUCUGGCUAACUUAACAUGGCAGUACGUAAUGGCCUGGAGUCGCGACGUCAGCAGACUCGAGAUUCUUGAAGCUGCUCUAUCAGUACUCAAACAAAUACCCAUGAAAUCAAUGCGCCAGGGUGUCUGCUGCCUGCUUUGGACGGUUCACAUCAAGAAGCGGAUGGAAGCUGCCGCUAAAUUGAUGAAUAAGUUGGGAAAACUUCCGAAGGAACGAUUGUGCGCUCAAGAAGUCGGACUGUCCGACAUUCAAACCACGGUCUUUCUUCAACACUGCGUCAGCUUCUUGGACAUUUUUCUGGACGCGGAAGUGAUGGAAGAGGACAAGAACGCGGUCUUCAAGGCUGAGGAAAUGUGGGAAGGACAUGCGGGCCCUCAAGCUUUUGCUGCUCUGGCCAUUACUCAGGUUCCUGGGAGCUACGACCUAAUUCUGCUGCACCUGCAGUUGGGUUUUGUCUUGCACAUGAUCGCGUUCUUUGGGAUUAAGUCUGUCAAGCCGAUGACUAAUUUGUUUGAAUCAGUUACUAGCAGAUACUUUUUCCAAGACAUCACCGAUAAGUUCAUUUUCACUUGGUACCACGAUGACAAGAGAGACAGCAGAAGGUUAGAUUUUCUCUACCGGAUUAUUACGGCAUCCAUGGAGUCAAUUCAUCAAGAGACAACGGAAGAUGGCGUUGAUUCAAAACAAGCUGUCCAGUGGAUGAGCAAGUGCACAGUUUUAGCUUCCAUGUGGAAAAUAGACUGCGAUAAACUGAGGAUUCAUCAAAUUUGUCAGCUCUACGUCAAUGGAUUCGAUCGUCUUGCAGAAGAAGUCAUGACUUCAAUUAAUGACACGGAAACUCUCGCAGUAAAUCUGAUACCCAUAGCAGGAUUGCGUAUGAUGGCAUUUUUAUCUAAAUCACCAGAUUUAUUAGAAGAGGUGUCAAGAAUAAGUCCCGCGUUGACUCAAUAUUUGGAAAAUUUGAAUCUACCAGGGAUCAUUAUUACAAGUUGUUCUAAUGAGAAUAAUAUCGAAUUAAUUAAAAAAAUAUCACAAUAUUUACCGGAAACACACAACGAUUAUCACUACGCGCAAUUAAUGCUUGAUGCGACGUUUAUUUAUCAGAGCGGGUGAUUUUGAUUCAUAAAUUUAAAUAUUUUUAUGAUUGGGGAUGACUGUGAUAAUCAUGUUUUGUUUUAAAAUUUAUAUUCGAUUGUGCAAGUAGUUUGGAUGGUGUCUGACUCCUUUUGCUAGUAUAGUGUCUGGCUGAAGCCCACAACACUGUUUUACACCUGUUUUACUGACGAGUCCGUUAACGUACUUGGGACGAAACUACACAGAUUAUGGCAAACUGGCGUGUAUCUUAAGGUUGGUGGUUGACUUAAGAGUCAGUACAUUAAAUAAUACGAAAAUUAUGUCAUUUGUUGCAGUAUAGUACGGAAUAUUGAAAAAUAUUAAAAAGAAAUUAAUAUAUCAUGUCUAUGACCUUAUUACAAAAACCUGAAUAUUGAUGCUUAUUUUAUACUUAAUUUAAGCAAAUACAUCGUUAAUCCGCUGACAAUUGCAUGAUGACCAACCUGGUUUCUCACAAUAAGGGUUUUGCUAAUUUAAACAUGGGAAGGAUAUGCACAGGAGGUUAAUAAAUAAAAUAAUUUUUUAACAAUGAAAUCUUUAAUAAAUGUUAUAUAUAUACAGGGUGCAAUAAUUUUUUUGGUUUGUGAAAUAUCACUUUUUUUCAUGGAUUUAAUGCGAAUACAUUCAUCAAUUUAACAUUUUUUCGACUUGACAUUACUAUUUUCAAUUAAUAAUUGCGAUAAACAAUAACAGUAUAAUAUUAAUCAAAUAAAUUUUUUACCCAAGCCAUUGGCUAGUGUAGCAAACAUGUAACAUACUCAUGCUUACUAUAAACUUUAGUCGUAAUUAUUUUAUAAACUAUUGAUCCUACGUUUUAAUUUAUUACUUAAAAACUUUUAUAUAAUGUUCUUAUUUAUAAAAAAACUUAAUUAAUAAAUUAAAAUUUCCUUGUUUAAUAAUUUAAAAGAUACAAUUUAAAUUUACCGCAAAAAAUCUAAUCACUUUAUAUUUAAUAAAAUUUCCAUAGCAAAUAUAUCUGUAAAAUUUGAACAUAUGAAAAAAUUAAUAGAAUACUUAUUUAUGUAGAAUUAAAUUAUCUACAAAAAAGUAUUCUAUUAAAUUUAAUGUAUCUUCAAUAGUUUGAAAGAUAUCAGUAAUUUAAAGGUCUGUUGCUAGCACAAGCCUUAGGCUAGCGCGGCAACAGUACACUGCCAUCUAGCGGAUUCCCGCCAUUUCAA
This is an RNA transcript of Microplitis demolitor, 5470 nucleotides long. It is a transcript of the gene named rab3 GTPase-activating protein non-catalytic subunit, with no coding region annotated. Lineage: Eukaryota; Metazoa; Arthropoda; Insecta; Hymenoptera; Braconidae. The transcript has 8 exons. The record is from RefSeq and is a predicted model, not a curated record.